UACGGAGGGUGCGAGCGUUAAUCGGAAUUACUGGGCGUAAAGGGUGCGUAGGUGGUUUGAUAAGUUAUCUGUGAAAUACCUGGGCUUAACCUGGGAGGGUCAGAUAAGACUGUUGAGCUGGAGUAUGGGAGAGGGUAGUGGAAUUUCCGGUGUAGCGGUGAAAUGCGUAGAUAUCGGAAGGAACACCGGUGGCGAAGGCGGCUACCUGGCCUAAUACUGACACUGAGGCACGAAAGCGUGGGGAGCAAACAGG
This 253-nucleotide ribosomal RNA is filed under the name uncultured Legionella sp. RNAcentral's name for it is "partial 16S ribosomal RNA". It matches the Rfam family "Bacterial small subunit ribosomal RNA", at positions 524 to 776 of the family's 1533-position model. Lineage: Bacteria; Pseudomonadati; Pseudomonadota; Gammaproteobacteria; Legionellales; Legionellaceae. The record is from RNAcentral.